This 448-nucleotide ribosomal RNA is filed under the name uncultured bacterium. RNAcentral's name for it is "bacterial SSU rRNA". It matches the Rfam family "Bacterial small subunit ribosomal RNA", at positions 329 to 794 of the family's 1533-position model. The record is from RNAcentral.
AGCCAGACUCCUACGGGAGGCAGCAGUGGGGAAUAUUGCACAAUGGGGGAAACCCUGAUGCAGCGACGCCGCGUGAGUGAAGAAGUAUCUCGGUACGUAAAGCUCUAUCAGCAGGGAAGAUAAUGACGGUACCUGACCAAGAAGCCCCGGCUAACUACGUGCCAGCAGCCGCGGUAAUACGUAGGGGGCAAGCGUUAUCCGGAUUUACUGGGUGUAAAGGGAGCGUAGACGGCAGCACAAGUCUGGAGUGAAAGCCCGGGGCCCAACCCCGGAACUGCUCUGGAAACUGUGCGGCUAGAGUGCUGGAGGGGCAGGCGGAAUUCCUAGUGUAGCGGUGAAAUGCGUAGAUAUUAGGAGGAACACCAGUGGCGAAGGCGGCCUGCUGGACAGUAACUGACGUUGAGGCUCGAAAGCGUGGGGAGCAAACAGGAUUAGAUACCCCAGUAGC